This 1219-nucleotide ribosomal RNA is filed under the name uncultured bacterium. Its description in RNAcentral is "bacterial SSU rRNA". It matches the Rfam family "Bacterial small subunit ribosomal RNA", at positions 8 to 1238 of the family's 1533-position model. The record is from RNAcentral.
AGAGUUUGAUCCUGGCUCAGGAUGAACGCUGUCGGCGUGCUUAACACAUGCAAGUCGAACGAUGAAGCCCAGCUUGCUGGGUGGAUUAGUGGCGAACGGGUGAGUAACACGUGAGUAACCUGCCCUUAACUCUGGGAUAAGCCUGGGAAACUGGGUCUAAUACCGGAUAGGAGCGUCCACCGCAUGGUGGGUGUUGGAAAGAUUUAUCGGUUUUGGAUGGACUCGCGGCCUAUCAGCUUGUUGGUGAGGUAAUGGCUCACCAAGGCGACGACGGGUAGCCGGCCUGAGAGGGUGACCGGCCACACUGGGACUGAGACACGGCCCAGACUCCUACGGGAGGCAGCAGUGGGGAAUAUUGCACAAUGGGCGCAAGCCUGAUGCAGCGACGCCGCGUGAGGGAUGACGGCCUUCGGGUUGUAAACCUCUUUCAGUAGGGAAGAAGCGAAAGUGACGGUACCUGCAGAAGAAGCACCGGCUAACUACGUGCCAGCAGCCGCGGUAAUACGUAGGGUGCGAGCGUUAUCCGGAAUUAUUGGGCGUAAAGAGCUCGUAGGCGGUUUGUCGCGUCUGUCGUGAAAGUCCGGGGCUUAACCCCGGAUCUGCGGUGGGUACGGGCAGACUAGAGUGCAGUAGGGGAGACUGGAAUUCCUGGUGUAGCGGUGGAAUGCGCAGAUAUCAGGAGGAACACCGAUGGCGAAGGCAGGUCUCUGGGCUGUAACUGACGCUGAGGAGCGAAAGCAUGGGGAGCGAACAGGAUUAGAUACCCUGGUAGUCCAUGCCGUAAACGUUGGGCACUAGGUGUGGGGACCAUUCCACGGUUUCCGCGCCGCAGCUAACGCAUUAAGUGCCCCGCCUGGGGAGUACGGCCGCAAGGCUAAAACUCAAAGGAAUUGACGGGGGCCCGCACAAGCGGCGGAGCAUGCGGAUUAAUUCGAUGCAACGCGAAGAACCUUACCAAGGCUUGACAUGUUCUCGAUCGCCGUAGAGAUACGGUUUCCCCUUUGGGGCGGGUUCACAGGUGGUGCAUGGUUGUCGUCAGCUCGUGUCGUGAGAUGUUGGGUUAAGUCCCGCAACGAGCGCAACCCUCGUUCCAUGUUGCCAGCACGUCGUGGUGGGGACUCAUGGGAGACUGCCGGGGUCAACUCGGAGGAAGGUGAGGACGACGUCAAAUCAUCAUGCCCCUUAUGUCUUGGGCUUCACGCAUGCUACAAUGGCCGGU